Molecule: ribosomal RNA, 492 nt
Filed under: uncultured bacterium
Lineage: Bacteria
Description: partial 16S ribosomal RNA
Rfam family: Bacterial small subunit ribosomal RNA
Source: RNAcentral
AUUGAACGCUGGCGGCAUGCUUUACAUAUGCAAGUCGAACGGUAACAGGCCUUCGGGUGCUGACGAGUGGCGAACGGGUGAGUAAUGCAUCGGAACGUGCCCAGAGGUGGGGGAUAACGCGGCGAAAGCUGUGCUGAUACCGCAUGUGAUCUGAGGAUGAAAGCGGGGGACCAAGCAGCAAUGUUUGGCCUCGCGCCUCUGGGGCGGCCGAUGUCAGAUUAGGUAGUUGGUGGGGUAAAGGCCUACCAAGCCGACGAUCUGUAGCUGGUCUGAGAGGACGACCAGCCACACUGGGACUGAGACACGGCCCAGACUCCUACGGGAGGCAGCAGUGGGGAAUUUUGGACAAUGGGCGCAAGCCUGAUCCAGCAAUGCCGCGUGCGGGAAGAAGGCCUUCGGGUUGUAAACCGCUUUUGUACGGAACGAAAAGGCUCUGGCUAAUACCUGGGGCUGAUGACGGUACCGUAAGAAUAAGCACCGGCUAACUACGUG